RNAcentral lists this ribosomal RNA (465 nucleotides) under Vreelandella stevensii. RNAcentral describes it as "partial 16S ribosomal RNA". It matches the Rfam family "Bacterial small subunit ribosomal RNA", at positions 338 to 795 of the family's 1533-position model. The record is from RNAcentral. Lineage: Bacteria; Pseudomonadati; Pseudomonadota; Gammaproteobacteria; Oceanospirillales; Halomonadaceae.
CCUACGGGUGGCAGCGGUGGGGAAUAUUGGACAAUGGGGGCAACCCUGAUCCAGCCAUGCCGCGUGUGUGAAGAAGGCCCUCGGGUUGUAAAGCACUUUCAGUGAGGAAGAACGCCUGGUGGUUAAUACCCAUCAGGAAAGACAUCACUCACAGAAGAAGCACCGGCUAACUCCGUGCCAGCAGCCGCGGUAAUACGGAGGGUGCGAGCGUUAAUCGGAAUUACUGGGCGUAAAGCGCGCGUAGGUGGCUUGAUAAGCCGGUUGUGAAAGCCCCGGGCUCAACCUGGGAACGGCAUCCGGAACUGUCAAGCUAGAGUGCAGGAGAGGAAGGUAGAAUUCCCGGUGUAGCGGUGAAAUGCGUAGAGAUCGGGAGGAAUACCAGUGGCGAAGGCGGCCUUCUGGACUGACACUGACACUGAGGUGCGAAAGCGUGGGUAGCAAACAGGAUUAGAUACCCGGGUAGUC